This 571-nucleotide unclassified non-coding RNA is filed under the name Hevea brasiliensis (rubber tree). The record is from RNAcentral. Lineage: Eukaryota; Viridiplantae; Streptophyta; Magnoliopsida; Malpighiales; Euphorbiaceae.
CAUGAUUCUCAAUCAUGCACUCAGGUUUGUUAUGUCUCAUAUCUUGUUUGUCAUGUUCAUCAGUAGUUUUUUGUUUGUCAUGUUUAUCAGUAGUUGUUUGUUUGUCAUUUGUGGUUGAACAAUUUUAUUUAUAGAAUUGUCAUCGGUUGAUUUAUUUGCUGAUUUUAGGAUUUUUUCCUCCCCCUGUUUAAUGAGAUCCUUCUGAAUAUUAAGAGGACUUUUCCAUCAUUAGGAGUAUAAGAAACAAAUAUUGAAGCUGAAUAGGUUGUUGUAUAAAUGACUUAAAUAGGUAUGAGAUAAUAAUAAAAAUUCGGCAAUACAUAAUAAGGAUUGGUUAUUUCUGCAUCCGCCUGUCAUUAUUUUUCUCCAGUGCUUUCCCUAAACGGUGCUAAGAUUGUCAAACUUUCAGCCAGCCUGGCGGAGAGCUUUGGCAAAUGAAUAUCAUUCAUGAUGUUGCUACUUGACAUGAACAUGCGGGGAAAUUUGUUUCAUCUUCAAAAAUUUUAAAUUCUACCAUAUAGACUCUGAUAUUUUAACUCUUCCUGUGCAGUGGUAUUGCUGUAUCCAUGGU